GAUGAACGCUGGCGGCGUGCCUAAUACAUGCAAGUCGAGCGAACGGACGAGAAGCUUGCUUCUCUGAUGUUAGCGGCGGACGGGUGAGUAACACGUGGAUAACCUACCUAUAAGACUGGGAUAACUUCGGGAAACCGGAGCUAAUACCGGAUGAUAUUUUGAACCGCAUGGUUCAAAAGUGAAAGACGGUCUUGCUGUCACUUAUAGAUGGAUCCGCGCUGCAUUAGCUAGUUGGUAAGGUAACGGCUUACCAAGGCAACGAUGCAUAGCCGACCUGAGAGAGUGAUCGGCCGCACUGGAACGGGAACACGGACCAUACUACUACGGGAGGCACCAGUAGGGAAUCUUCCGCAAUGGUCGAAAGCCUGACGGAGCAACGCCGCGUGAGUGAUGAAGGUCUUCGGAUCGUAAAACUCUGUUAUUAGGUAAAAACAUAUGUGUAAGUAACUGUGCACAUCUUGACGGUAACUAAUCAGAAAGCCACGGCUAACUACGUG
Molecule: ribosomal RNA, 497 nt
Filed under: uncultured bacterium
Lineage: Bacteria
Description: partial 16S ribosomal RNA
Rfam family: Bacterial small subunit ribosomal RNA
Source: RNAcentral